AACGAACGCUGGCGGCAUGCCUAACACAUGCAAGUCGAACGAGACCUUCGGGUCUAGUGGCGCACGGGUGCGUAACGCGUGGGAACCUGCCCUUAGGUUCGGAAUAACUCCCCGAAAGGGGUGCUAAUACCGGAUAAUGUCUUCGGACCAAAGAUUUAUCGCCUUUGGAUGGGCCCGCGUUGGAUUAGCUAGUUGGUAGGGUAAAAGCCUACCAAGGCGACGAUCCAUAGCUGGUCUGAGAGGAUGAUCAGCCACACUGGGACUGAGACACGGCCCAGACUCCUACGGGAGGCAGCAGUGGGGAAUAUUGGACGAUGGGCGAAAGCCUGAUCCAGCAAUGCCGCGUGAGUGAUGAAGGCGUUAGGGUUGUAAAGCUCUUUUACCCGGGAUGAUAAUGACAGUACCGGGAGAAUAAGCUCCGGCUAACUACGUG
Molecule: ribosomal RNA, 433 nt
Filed under: uncultured bacterium
Lineage: Bacteria
Description: partial 16S ribosomal RNA
Rfam family: Bacterial small subunit ribosomal RNA
Source: RNAcentral